UACAGAGGUCCCAAGCGUUGUUCGGAUUCACUGGGCGUAAAGGGUGCGUAGGCGGUCGGGUAAGUCUGAUGUGAAAUCUCACAGCUUAACUGUGAAACUGCAUUGGAUACUAUCCGGCUAGAGGAAUGGAGGGGAGACUGGAAUACUUGGUGUAGCAGUGAAAUGCGUAGAUAUCAAGUGGAACACCAGUGGCGAAGGCGAGUCUCUGGACAUUUCCUGACGCUGAGGCACGAAAGCCAGGGGAGCGAACAGG
RNAcentral lists this ribosomal RNA (253 nucleotides) under uncultured bacterium. Its description in RNAcentral is "partial 16S ribosomal RNA". It matches the Rfam family "Bacterial small subunit ribosomal RNA", at positions 524 to 776 of the family's 1533-position model. The record is from RNAcentral.